CCUACGGGAGGCAGCAGUGAGGAAUAUUGGUCAAUGGACGAGAGUCUGAACCAGCCAAGUAGCGUGAAGGAUGACUGCCCUAUGGGUUGUAAACUUCUUUUAUAUGGGAAUAAAAUGUUCCACGUGUGGGAUUUUGUAUGUACCAUAUGAAUAAGGAUCGGCUAACUCCGUUCCAGCAGCCGCGGUAAUACGGAGGAUCCGAGCGUUAUCCGGAUUUAUUGGGUUUAAAGGGAGCGUAGGUGGAUUGUUAAGUCAGUUGUGAAAGUUUGCGGCUCAACCGUAAAAUUGCAGUUGAAACUGGCAGUCUUGAGUACAGUAGAGGUGGGCGGAAUUCGUGGUGUAGCGGUGAAAUGCUUAGAUAUCACGAAGAACUCCGAUUGCGAAGGCAGUUCACUGGACUGCAACUGACACUGAGGCUCGAAAGUGUGGGUAUCAAACAGGAGUAGAUACCCUAGUAGUC
This 460-nucleotide ribosomal RNA is filed under the name uncultured bacterium. RNAcentral's name for it is "partial 16S ribosomal RNA". It matches the Rfam family "Bacterial small subunit ribosomal RNA", at positions 338 to 795 of the family's 1533-position model. The record is from RNAcentral.